UAAAGGCUCACCUAGGCGACGAUCCCUAGCUGGUCUGAGAGGAUGACCAGCCACACUGGAACUGAGACACGGUCCAGACUCCUACGGGAGGCAGCAGUGGGGAAUAUUGCACAAUGGGCGCAAGCCUGAUGCAGCCAUGCCGCGUGUAUGAAGAAGGCCUUCGGGUUGUAAAGUACUUUCAGCGGGGAGGAAGGGAGUAAAGUUAAUACCUUUGCUCAUUGACGUUACCCGCAGAAGAAGCACCGGCUAACUCCGUGCCAGCAGCCGCGGUAAUACGGAGGGUGCAAGCGUUAAUCGGAAUUACUGGGCGUAAAGCGCACGCAGGCGGUUUGUUAAGUCAGAUGUGAAAUCCCCGGGCUCAACCUGGGAACUGCAUCUGAUACUGGCAAGC
This 391-nucleotide ribosomal RNA is filed under the name Escherichia coli. RNAcentral describes it as "bacterial SSU rRNA". It matches the Rfam family "Bacterial small subunit ribosomal RNA", at positions 258 to 641 of the family's 1533-position model. The record is from RNAcentral. Lineage: Bacteria; Pseudomonadati; Pseudomonadota; Gammaproteobacteria; Enterobacterales; Enterobacteriaceae.